CACAGAAGAGAAUCAGUCAAGCAGUAAAAAAAAAAAAGUGUACUACAUCAGAUUUGUAAUUAUCCCCCGAUGUCUGAGUUUUGUUCUUUAUUUAAAAACUGUUGUUGUCAUAUGUUAUAGCUUCCAAUACAUAUCAGAAUGAACACAGUACAUUCUCUAAUGUCAAAAUAUUGAUAGUGAGACCUGAAAGUUCAAUGCAUUUUGUAGCAAAAGGCUAAUCAUUUAAUUGUGAUGCAAUCUUGAAUCACAUCAGGUCUUGAAUUGUGUUUAGUGUGCAAAGGGCUACUGAAUAAUCUAUAUAUAUAUAUAGGCAUUACAUAUCAAAUAAAUAGAACGGAAAGAGUUAAAAAAAGAUAGACACUUAAUAAAAGGAAGGGUGGUGUCCCACUUCCUGUAGAUCUCAGUGUUCAAGACCACCAGCUAUACAAGUAAUCAUACAUACCAGAAGUGAAGAUUGGACUGUGUCUGAUGGGACUGUACACUUCUCACAAUAUGACCUUGCUGUCAUUCGUGGUCAUCUUGACUCUGACAUUCCACGCUUGUCUGAGUGAGCCAGACAUGCUGCACCCAUCUCAGCCCUGCACCAAAGCAGAAAACAAGAAUGGUUACAACACUUUUCUUAAACGACACAUCCGCGAAGGCACACCAACCGAUCUGAAAAAAGAAAACUGGAAGAAGUUCAUUAACAGCAUCAACACCUGGAACAGGACGACUCAGUCAUUCUUUCCCUUCAGUGAGAAAAACCGGGUGGAAGCUGUGUGUUCAUCAGGAGGACAGAUGUUUAAGAAGAACCUCUGCAUCAGCAAGAAGUCUUUUUCCUUCAUCACUGUUAAGAUUGACAGUAAAGAGAAAAAAAUCAAAAGUGUCAAACGUCAAAAACAGCAUGUUAUUCUUGCCUGUGAUAAAUUUGGAAACAAAUGUCUCCCUGAUCAUUUUGAGGCAAAUACAAAAAAUUUUAAACCAAAUAACAACAAACCAGACUGCGGUAAACUGAAUCGCAAUUCUGUUUAUGAGAAAAUGUUUCCAUGGCUGUAAUAGAAGACAAAUGACCUGCAGAACUGCAGAAAAUU
Cyprinus carpio (common carp) is the source of this 1070-nucleotide long non-coding RNA. Lineage: Eukaryota; Metazoa; Chordata; Actinopteri; Cypriniformes; Cyprinidae. The record is from Ensembl.